GAGCUGAAGUUGGAGGCUUAACUGACUGAGCCACCCAGCUGCCAUCUGCUUCUCUAAAGCUCUGCCGUAGGUAAUUUCUCUGAGGGAAGCCUCUGAUGGAGUUGCUGACUAAAGCCGCCUGAGGCACUCACCAGUGCUGAGUCUCCUUUAACACCUUCAGCCUGACUGACUCCACAGGGUCUCAUCUGUUUCCUAAAAGCAAUGAAGAGUCCGCGAGAGUGAAGAGUACAUAUGUUGCCAUCUAUAGGGAGAACACAUUAUAAAAACUUUACUGUUUGGCGAAUGAACACUAUAAAACGUGAACAACAUUUUUUUUUACAUCUUCUACUCUUCCCAACUUCGCUUCCUUAAAUGUUUAAUUACUACCAUUUCUAUAACCAAUACUACCCACUUCUUACCAUGGAUUGCUGGCUACCAACAAGUAUAAGUUUUACUCUAUUAUGCUUUAAUGUCUAAAUUGUUAACAUUAUACGACUCUACCCGACAGCUGAAGAGGCUUUAGACACUGGAAGAUCUCUUGGCAGGUUCGGCUUCUUCCCCAGUCAAUGCUUCCUGGCUUUGACAUUGAGGUUGAAGGCUAAACCAAAACCUCCUAGCCACUUUUACCGGAAGAAUACUGGCUUGAGAGACUCCCACACUUACUCAGCGUAAAAGAGAUCUGAACCAACAACAGAGCUCACAGGAAGUAGGAGAAGGUCUGAAAUCAUGGACAUCGAUGUGGAGAGGUGUUUCAUCAAAGAAGGUGGUGUGAGAUUUAAAUGUCCCAGAGAGAUUGAAAAGAAAGAGAUCUGAUAAAUAUCUUUGUGAUUUAACAAGAAGGAAGCUAAUGAGUCAAAGGAGAGUAUAAUCAGCAUGUAUCAGGAGUUUGUUUGGAGAAUAAGAUCAUCUGCUAGGUUACUCUAAAAGGAUUUCAUGAAUAAAGUGAGUUCUAAACUGGUCUUUGAAAGAUACACCGUGGAAUACAUUCUUGGCGAUAUUCUCUAGGUGUGUGUCUGAGGUGGUGGCACAGAGUAGCCAGCUGUCUACCAACUCUGUGUCCUCCUCUCUUUGGACACUCUACUGCACCACAUUCGAUGACUCAGCUCUGAUCUGAGCCACUUCCAGGCAUGACCCAUAAUAAUCUUCAAUGUGUGAUUCCCCAUGUUUUCUUUCCUUUUGGAGCAUCUCUGGAAUCGACAUGUUAAAGAUGGCAGGGCCAUGGAGAGAAGGAUCCUGAAUCCCUGAAUCAUCACUUGGAGGAAGACCACGUGCCACAUGGGAAUACCUGUUUCGGGUUUUAAGUGAGCAAGCAAUAAACUUCUCUCAUAUUAAGGCAA
This is a long non-coding RNA of Suricata suricatta (meerkat), 1316 nucleotides long. RefSeq lists it as uncharacterized. The transcript is spliced from 3 exons. NCBI's taxonomy places the organism in Eukaryota, Metazoa, Chordata, Mammalia, Carnivora, Herpestidae. The record is from RefSeq and is a predicted model, not a curated record.